UGUGGGCCCUGCUGAGGCUACUGACAUUACAAUUUUGCAUCCCUAUGGGACAGACACUCCAGAAUGCAAUGCUGUAGUAGGAAGACCCUAGUCUUGUUAUGGAGCCCUUUGGGGUUGCACUGUUCCAGAUGUUUGGAGUAAGCACACCACACAGAAGACCUUCCGUACAGAUUAUUUGAUGGGAAGAUGAUUUACCUCACUGGUCUUUUAGAGACUAAAGAUGGAGAAGGAGGCCAGCUAGUUGUCUCAGGAAGAGACCAGAUGGCUGAAGGAGACUUACCAGUUAUGAGCAUUGGUAUUUUUGGCAGAAAAAUUCUAACAACAAGCAAGACUAGAGAAAGGAAAUCAAAUGUCAUUAUGUGGCAGCAAACAAUCAGUUACCCAUGUUUAGCCUUUGCUCAAUAGAAAGAAAAGAAACUGGAAGAACAGAUUACAAUAUUUGAUGGCUCUUUUUGGCAUAGGACAUUGUGCCUUUGACAAGGCAGCACCUCAAGCAGGAGAUUCCUAAUGAAACAGGAUAAAAGAACAAGCAAUGGCAGUUACAGAGUAGGUUAGAUAAAAUGUCUAUCAGGGAUGGUCUAGGCAGUAUUUGGUCCUGCCAUGCAGGCAGGGGACUGGACUCGAUGACCUCUCGAGGUCCCUUCCAGUCCUAGAAUCUAUGAAUCUAUGAAUCUAUACUGCCAAGACAUUAAGUUGUCUAUGUCACUUGCGGAACCACACAGCCCAUUGCAAAUAAUUGACUUUUGUGGAACUUGGCCUUGCAGCUUCACUAAUGAAUCGUAUAUUUUACAAAGGUCUGUGAAUGUAGGCGGUACAAAGCAUGGAGUUUUCCCAAGAAGUUACUCAAAAUUAAUCUUUAAACCCCCAUGAAUAUGUAUAUUUUAAAAGUUACCUUUCAUAUAAUUCUGUAUAAUGAUCAUUUUAUCAAACAUAAGCAGUAGCUGCACUUGUAUGAUGCCCAGAUUGAUUACAGACGGAACACUGUGUUUACAUUAUCUAGGCUGUCUUCACAUUUAUAUUAAUGCAACAUAAAAACAUUGCAGACAUUUUAAAUACAAGCAACCUAGGUAGCCUGAUGUCUUCCAGAUGAGACUGGAUAUUGCUAUGGCUAUAUGUCAAAUACUGAGUUGAUUAUAGCCAGGCUCCAAGUGUGCCAUCCACCAGGGCAUAGUGAGGCAGUGUCUUUUGUCUCUUGACGUUGCAAAUUUGUCAUCUUGGGUUUUUUAGAACCUUUCUGAAAGAACAUUAGUGAUCACGUAGUGAACCCAUCGCCCUUUCACUGAUAUUCUGACAAGAAUUCUUACACAUGUCAUUAUUACAUACAGCUUAAUCAUUUUUAAGUUCAUGCCACACUCCUUCCAUUUGCAGGUAGCAUAUUUAAUUAUGACUGAUUGCAUUUUUAUCUUAAUAAAGCUGCAGUUGAAGAGUAUUUUUCUACUUCU
RNAcentral lists this long non-coding RNA (1442 nucleotides) under Chrysemys picta bellii (western painted turtle). RNAcentral's name for it is "lncRNA (ENSCPBG00000028083.1)". The record is from RNAcentral. Lineage: Eukaryota; Metazoa; Chordata; Testudines; Emydidae.